This is a non-coding RNA of Brachypodium distachyon (stiff brome), 136 nucleotides long. Lineage: Eukaryota; Viridiplantae; Streptophyta; Magnoliopsida; Poales; Poaceae. The record is from Rfam.
UUUUUACUUCCUCUGUCCAACAAAAGAUGUCUCAAGUUUGUCAAAACUUGGAUGUAUGUAGACAUGACUUAGUGUAUAGAUGCAUUCAAAUUUGGUCAAAGUUGAGACGUCCUUUGUUGGACGAAGGGAGUACAAU